UGGGGAAUAUUGCACAAUGGGGGAAACCCUGAUGCAGCGACGCCGCGUGAACGAAGAAGGUAUUCGUAUCGUAAAGUUCUGUCCUAUGGGAAGAUAAUGACAGUACCAUAGAAGAAAGCUCCGGCUAAAUACGUGCCAGCAGCCGCGGUAAUACGUAUGGAACGAGCGUUGUCCGGAAUUAUUGGGCGUAAAGGGUACGCAGGCGGUUUAAUAAGUCGAAUGUUAAAGAUCGGGGCUCAACCCCGCAAAGCAUUGGAAACUGAUAAACUUGAGUAGUGGAGAGGAAAGUGGAAUUCCUAGUGUAGUGGUGAAAUACGUAGAUAUUAGGAGGAAUACCAGUAGCGAAGGCGACUUUCUGGACACAAACUGACGCUGAGGUACGAAAGCGUGGGGAGCAAACAGG
This 403-nucleotide ribosomal RNA is filed under the name bacterium. RNAcentral describes it as "partial 16S ribosomal RNA". It matches the Rfam family "Bacterial small subunit ribosomal RNA", at positions 355 to 776 of the family's 1533-position model. The record is from RNAcentral.